Molecule: ribosomal RNA, 428 nt
Filed under: Bacteroidota bacterium
Lineage: Bacteria; Pseudomonadati; Bacteroidota
Description: Bacteroidetes bacterium partial 16S ribosomal RNA
Rfam family: Bacterial small subunit ribosomal RNA
Source: RNAcentral
UAGGGAAUCUUCGGCAAUGGGGGGAACCCUGACCGAGCAACGCCGCGUGAGUGAAGAAGGUUUUCGGAUCGUAAAGCUCUGUUGUUAAGGAAGAACGAGUGUGAGAAUGGAAAGUUCAUACUGUGACGGUACUUAACCAGAAAGGGACGGCUAACUACGUGCCAGCAGCCGCGGUAAUACGUAGGUCCCGAGCGUUGUCCGAUUUAUUGGGCGUAAAGCGAGCGCAGGCGGUUAGAUAAGUCUGAAGUUAAAGGCAGUGGCUCAACCAUUGUAGGCUUUGGAAACUGUUUAACUUGAGUGCAGAAGGGGAGAGUGGAAUUCCAUGUGUAGCGGUGAAAUGCGUAGAUAUAUGGAGGAACACCGGUGGCGAAAGCGGCUCUCUGGUCUGUAACUGACGCUGAGGCUCGAAAGCGUGGGGAGCGAACAGG